UGAUGAGUAUGGUGUUAAUCGUGGUCGCGGUCGUGGUAGGGAACGUUUAGGUAAACGUGGUCGAGGGACUAAGAGGACAACAUGACAUUAUAUUUUUGUAAAUUUUAAAUUGCACAGGACUUUCUAUAUUAUUGAAAACCUUGCUCUAUUUUUUUAUAUUUUGUUGUGAUGAUAUGGUAUCGAUGCUCUAUUAAUAUUGUGUUGUUGUGUUGGAUUUGUUGUUGUGCUGUUGAUGUUGAAUUUGUUGUGUUGUUGUGCUGAAAUUUACAAGUGUACUGCAGUCCUACUGAAUACGGUGAACCA
This 303-nucleotide long non-coding RNA is filed under the name Ananas comosus (pineapple). RNAcentral's name for it is "long non-coding RNA (ACOM_LNC012035)". Lineage: Eukaryota; Viridiplantae; Streptophyta; Magnoliopsida; Poales; Bromeliaceae. The record is from RNAcentral.